Molecule: long non-coding RNA, 939 nt
Organism: Solanum stenotomum
Lineage: Eukaryota; Viridiplantae; Streptophyta; Magnoliopsida; Solanales; Solanaceae
Exons: 4
Source: RefSeq, a predicted model, not a curated record
CUUACUUCUCUUGAAACAUGAUGGAUAAUGGGGUGCAAACGUCUACAACAUGUGGACUUCAUAGAUGCUAUGCCUUAAUUACGGUAUCUGAAGAUUCGUGAUUGUCCAUUGUUAGAAGCUCUGUCGGAUGGGCUUGGAUACCUUGGUUCUUUGAAAGAGUUAAGUUUGCAGAACUGUGAAAAACUAGAACAUCUGCCAUCCAGAGAGGCCAUGCGAUGCCUCACCAAAUUACAGUACCUGGAAACUGAAGGCUGCCCAAAGUUGCACCAAUCGGAGUAAGCCCAAACUCUCUGUGGUCCAACAUUUCCCAUAUUCCAAAUAUUGAAGUAGAUGGGAGGAAAAUUCAGAACUUAUGUAUGUAAGUCUCUGUUUCUUCUUCUAAUUUUUAAAUUUUCAUAUCUUGAUAUGAAAUUUAUGGGUUUUUUUUUUAUAGGUUACUAGUUCCAAGGUCAUGCUAGAACGUCGCUGUGGUAUAUUAAGCCUCAUCCCAUGAGCGGCAGGCAAUUAGGGGACAGAUUGUAACAUUUUGCUUCAGUGGUGACUCUGGUUGUGGCAAGCUUGAAAGUUCAAGGACAAAGUCUCCGUUCAUUAAAACUUCCGCGAAUGAAGGACUUGAACAAAGAUAGUUGUCACAAAUCUUAUAGCAAAGAGUGUCUUAAAAUGUGCUAAGCAGUAUCUGUUCAUCUUAACAGAUUCAUGUUUGAAACAGCAGCAUGGACCUCGUCGAAAUGCUACUUGUGUUAGAUGUGAUUCAGUGUCAUCAUUAGCAAGGGAAAUUGCAUCCUGUAAACUCAUUUGCAUGUGGCAGAAAGUGAAUUGGAGAUCCUGGAAAGGGUCCAAAGAGAAACUUAUGCCAGUCACUUUGCUAGAUUUCUCAUACCAUGGUUCAAUGUUGUACAGAGCAACUUGUGUCUUGCCAUUUUUAUUUUAUUAUUUUGA